This 1664-nucleotide ribosomal RNA is filed under the name marine metagenome. RNAcentral describes it as "bacterial LSU rRNA". It matches the Rfam family "Bacterial large subunit ribosomal RNA", at positions 430 to 2132 of the family's 2925-position model. The record is from RNAcentral.
AAUCUUGUCGGAAUAUGCGAGGACCAUCUCGUAAGGCUAAAUACUACCAAUUGACCGAUAGUGAACCAGUACCGUGAGGGAAAGGUGAAAAGAACCGCGGGAGCGGAGUGAAAAGAUCCUGAAACCUUGUGCUUACAACAAGUUAGAGCCCGUUAAUGGGUGAUAGCGUGCCUUUUGUAGAAUGAACCGGCGAGUUAUGUUAACGUGCAAGGUUAAGCUUUGAGGAGCGGAGCCGUAGCGAAAGCGAGUUUUAACCGGCGUAUAAGUACGUUGACAUAGACCCGAAACUGGGUGAGCUAGCCAUGAGCAGGUUGAAGUUGGGGUAAGACCCAAUGGAGGACCGAACCAGGACACGUUGAAAAGUGUUUGGAUGACUUGUGGCUAGAGGUGAAAUUCCAAUCGAACCCAGAGAUAGCUGGUUCUCACCGAAAUAGCUUUCGGGCUAGCGUUGAAGUUAAGUGGUAUGCAGGUAGAGCACUGAAUGGUUGAUGGUCCCAUCCCGGGAUACUGAUAUCAAUCAAACUCCGAAUGGCAUACUUACAUAUACAGCAGUCAGACUACGGGUGAUAAGGUCCGUGGUCGAGAGGGAAACAGCCCAGACCGCCAGUUAAGGUCCCUAAAUUUAUGUUAAGUGGGAAAGGAUGUGGAGUUGUACAGACAACUAGGAGGUUGGCUUAGAAGCAGCCACCCUUUAAAGAGUGCGUAAUAGCUCACUAGUCGAAUGAUUCUGCGCCGAAGAUGUACCGGGGCUAAACAUGAUACCGAAACUGCGGAUCCGUAAGGAUGGUAGCUGAGCGUUCUUAUUGCGGAGAAGUCUGAUCGUAAGGACAGGUGGAGCGAUAAGAAGUGAGAAUGCCGGUGUGAGUAAUGAAAAGUAGGGUGAGAAUCCCUACCGUCAAAAGUCUAAGGUUUCCAGAGGAAGGUUCGUCCGCUCUGGGUUAGUCUGGGCCUAAGGUGAGGCUGAAAAGCGUAGCCGAUGGAUAACGGGUUGAUAUUCCCGUACCACCUUGUGAACUGAUGGAGUGACGGAGAAAGAUAGCAUGAGCACCUUAGUGGAUUGGUGUUUAAGCGUUUAGGCCGAGAUAUAGGUAAAUCCGUAUCUCGUUGAAGGCUGAGGCGUGACGACGAAAGUCAUGUGAAUCUAUGCUUCCAAGAAAAGCUUCUAGGGUUAAUUUAUAAGGUGCCAGUACCGUAAACCGACACAGGUAGACGAGGAGAGAAUCUAAAGACGCGCGAGAUAACUCUUGUUAAGGAACUCGGCAAAAUGACCCCGUAACUUCGGGAUAAGGGGAGCUCUACAAUGUAGAGCCGCAGAGAAUAGGCCCAAGCGACUGUUUAUCAAAAACACAGCUCUAUGCUAAAUCGCAAGAUGAUGUAUAUGGGGUGACGCCUGCCCAGUGCUGGAAGGUUAAGAGGAGUACUUAUCUUCGGAGAAGGUACGAAUUGAAGCCCCAGUGAACGGCGGCCGUAACUAUAACGGUCCUAAGGUAGCGAAAUUCCUUGUCGGGUAAGUUCCGACCCGCACGAAAGGCGUAAUGAUUUGGAUACUGUCUCGGAGAGGGGCUCGGUGAAAUAGACUUGUCUGUGAAGAUGCGGACUACCUGCACCUGGACAGAAAGACCCUAUGAAGCUUUACUGUAACUUGAAAUUGAAAUUGGACUUUA